GAUGAACGCUGGCGGCGUGCCUAACACAUGCAAGUCGAACGAGGUAAAUGAGAUGAAGUUUUCGGAUGGAUUCUUAUUUACCGAGUGGCGGACGGGUGAGUAACGCGUGGGUAACCUGCCUCAUACAGGGGGAUAACGAUUGGAAACGAUUGCUAAUACCGCAUAAGCGCACAGUACCACAUGGUGCAGUGUGAAAAACUCCGGUGGUAUGAGAUGGACCCGCGUCUGAUUAGCUAGUUGGUGAGGUAACGGCCCACCAAGGCAACGAUCAGUAGCCGACCUGAGAGGGUGACCGGCCACAUUGGGACUGAGACACGGCCCAGACUCCUACGGGAGGCAGCAGUGGGGGAUAUUGCACAAUGGAGGAAACUCUGAUGCAGCGACGCCGCGUGAGUGAAGAAGUAUUUCGGUAUGUAAAGCUCUAUCAGCAGGGAAGAAA
This 439-nucleotide ribosomal RNA is filed under the name uncultured bacterium. Its description in RNAcentral is "bacterial SSU rRNA". It matches the Rfam family "Bacterial small subunit ribosomal RNA", at positions 28 to 450 of the family's 1533-position model. The record is from RNAcentral.